Molecule: long non-coding RNA, 730 nt
Organism: Alnus glutinosa
Lineage: Eukaryota; Viridiplantae; Streptophyta; Magnoliopsida; Fagales; Betulaceae
Exons: 3
Source: RefSeq, a predicted model, not a curated record
GCACCACUCACUCUUUUCCUCUUCUUCUCUUUUCCCUUUUCUUUUCUCACUCUCCUCUCUCUUUUCCACGCAGCCCCUCUCCCUCUUUCUUUUCUUUUCUCUUCUCUUUUCUCUCCCAUUUCCUCCCUUAGUUGCAGAAAAUGAGAGGACCCGUGAUGAUCCAGCUGAGAGAGAGAGAGAACGACACAGUGAGAGAGAGAGAGAGAGAGAGAGAGAGAGAGAGAGAGAGUCACGAUGCAAAGUUGAAGAAGAAGUAGACUCCGGCCAUGGGCUUCUUGAGGAUAGUGUCUGGAUUGGAGACUUCAUGGGUUCUCCAAUGUAGAGUUCGAGUUGGAGUCCAAUGCAGCCAAGAUGAUGUUCUUUUGGCUGCAGGUAUUCCGGUCGUAGUUGAUAGCAUUGUAAAAGGGUAUUUUGGAUGUUAUGACUGAAGCACGCCGCAACGGUCAUAAUUGGUGGACCACGGGUUGUCCACUUGUUUAUAGGUUUGGUUUAUGGCUUGUGACGUUUGUGUCACUUAUUAUUGUACAAAACCAUUUAUGUCAAGUAUUUAAUUCGUGGAAAGAUUUAAUCAUAUAGUUAUUUAAUGGCUCUUUGUUGUAAUUAUUUGUUAUAGAUGUAUAAGAUGUGAUUUCCGCUAUUAGGUUAUGUUUUCCGCUGCAUAGUUGAUAGAUGUUAUACUCUGAUUUGCCAGGUACAUAUUAUGGGGUAUGUACAUAUGUUGUCUUUGCGA